RNAcentral lists this ribosomal RNA (131 nucleotides) under Teratosphaeria considenianae. RNAcentral describes it as "partial 18S ribosomal RNA". It matches the Rfam family "Eukaryotic small subunit ribosomal RNA", at positions 1702 to 1830 of the family's 1831-position model. The record is from RNAcentral. Lineage: Eukaryota; Fungi; Ascomycota; Dothideomycetes; Mycosphaerellales; Teratosphaeriaceae.
UGAGGCGUCCGGACUGGCCCAGGGAGGUCGGCAACGACCACCCAGGGCCGGAAAGUUCGUCAAACUUGGUCAUUUAGAGGAAGUAAAAGUCGUAACAAGGUCUCCGUAGGUGAACCUGCGGAGGGAUCAUU